AUGGAAAGACAAAGGGAUAUGCAGGAGGCAGAUUUGGGAGGAGAGGAAGUGAAUAGGGCUUCCAUGGUCCAUCCUCGGGCCGAAAGACCUGAUCCUGGGAUUGAGAUCAAUACGCAAGCGCUAUCAAUCCAUGAGCCACAGAUCUUUCAUGUUCAAGCGGGGCAGCAGAUGCAAGAACAGGGUCAAGAUGCAGAGUUUAAUAUUCUUAUGAAGCUUGCAGCUACAGGAGGUACAGUUAGAGUUCUUUCUCUUCAAGCAGUACAACAAUCUAUGGCUAGAGCAUGGAGAGACAACUAUUAUGGAAUCUCACAGCUAUCAAGAUACAUCUUUGUUGCACAUUUUCGCUCCUUGGAAGCUGCUAUGUUUGUAAUUACCCGUCAGCCGUGGAGUAUGGGUUCAGACAACUUCUUGAUUGAGUGGAUGGAUCUGGAGGAUCGUGGCAAAAAUAUUCAGGAUUACAAGUUUGAUACUAUUUAUGUGACCAUCCGUGUUUAUGGAAUUCCUAUGAGGUUUAGGUCUCAAGAUCUUCUAGUCAAUAUUUUACAGUGUUGGUCAGCUUUCUGA
Molecule: ribosomal RNA, 564 nt
Filed under: Triticum aestivum (bread wheat)
Lineage: Eukaryota; Viridiplantae; Streptophyta; Magnoliopsida; Poales; Poaceae
Description: partial small subunit ribosomal RNA
Source: RNAcentral